AAUGGGUCAGCGACUUAUAUUCUGUAGCAAGGUUAACCGUAUAGGGGAGCCGAAGGGAAACCGAGUCUUAACUGGGCGUUAAGUUGCAGGGUAUAGACCCGAAACCCGGUGAUCUAGCCAUGGGCAGGUUGAAGGUUGGGUAACACUAACUGGAGGACCGAACCGACUAAUGUUGAAAAAUUAGCGGAUGACCUGUGGCUGGGGGUGAAAGGCCAAUCAAACCGGGAGAUAGCUGGUUCUCCCCGAAAGCUAUUUAGGUAGCGCCUCGUGAACUCAUCUUCGGGGGUAGAGCACUGUUUCGGCUAGGGGGCCAUCCCGGCUUACCAACCCGAUGCAAACUACGAAUACCGAAGAAUGUUAUCACGGGAGACACACGGCGGGUGCUAACGUCCGUCGUGAAGAGGGAAACAACCCAGACCGCCAGCUAAGGUCCCAAAGUCAUGGUUAAGUGGGAAACGAUGUGGGAAGGCACAGACAGCCAGGAUGUUGGCUUAGAAGCAGCCAUCAUUUAAAGAAAGCGUAAUAGCUCACUGGUCGAGUCGGCCUGCGCGGAAGAUGUAACGGGGCUAAACCAUGCACCGAAGCUGCGGCAGCGACACUAUGUGUUGUUGGGUAGGGGAGCGUUCUGUAAGCCGUUGAAGGUGUGCUGUGAGGCAUGCUGGAGGUAUCAGAAGUGCGAAUGCUGACAUAAGUAACGAUAAAGCGGGUGAAAAGCCCGCUCGCCGGAAGACCAAGGGUUCCUGUCCAACGUUAAUCGGGGCAGGGUGAGUCGACCCCUAAGGCGAGGCCGAAAGGCGUAGUCGAUGGGAAACAGGUUAAUAUUCCUGUACUUGGUGUUACUGCGAAGGGGGGACGGAGAAGGCUAUGUCAGCCGGGCGACGGUUGUCCCGGUUUAAGCAUGUAGGCGGAGGUUCCAGGUAAAUCCGGUACCUUUUAACGCUGAGGUGUGAUGACGAGGCACUACGGUGCUGAAGUGAUAAAUGCCCUGCUUCCAGGAAAAGCCUCUAAGCAUCAGGUAACACGAAAUCGUACCCCAAACCGACACAGGUGGUCAGGUAGAGAAUACCAAGGCGCUUGAGAGAACUCGGGUGAAGGAACUAGGCAAAAUGGUGCCGUAACU
This 1120-nucleotide ribosomal RNA is filed under the name Enterobacter hormaechei. RNAcentral's name for it is "partial 23S ribosomal RNA". It matches the Rfam family "Bacterial large subunit ribosomal RNA", at positions 614 to 1735 of the family's 2925-position model. RNAcentral also lists the same sequence under 1 other name. Lineage: Bacteria; Pseudomonadati; Pseudomonadota; Gammaproteobacteria; Enterobacterales; Enterobacteriaceae. The record is from RNAcentral.